CUCCAAUAGCGUAUAUUAAAGUUGUUGCAGUUAAAAAGCUCGUAGUCUGAUUUUUGGGGGGCACGGCGCGUCCAGGCUAUUGGUCUGCGCACGGCGCUGUGUCUGCCAUUACCUUCGGAGGAGGCGUAGUGCUAUUAGUUUAGUGGUGCGUUUAUUCCGAUAGUUUACUUUGAGAAAAAUAGAGUGUUCAAAGCAGGCGAUUGCCUUGAAUACAUUAGCAUGGGAUAAUGAAAUAGGACGUUGGUUCUAUUUUGAUGGUUUACGGACCGACGUAAUGAUUAAUAGGGACAGUUGGGGACAUUUGUAUUCCAUGGCUAGAGGUGAAAUUCUUGGAUUCAUGGAAGACAAACUACUGCGAAAGCAUUUGUCAAAGAUGUUUUCAUUGAUCAAGAACGAAAGUUAGGGGAGCAAAGACGAUCAGAUACCGUCGUAGUCUUAACCAUAAACGAUGCCGACUAGGGAUCGGUGGGCGUUAGUUUGAUGACUCCAUCGGCACCUCAUGGGAAACCAAAGUCUUUGGGUUCCGGGGGGAGUAUGGUCGCAAGGCUGAAA
Molecule: ribosomal RNA, 552 nt
Filed under: uncultured eukaryote
Lineage: Eukaryota
Description: SSU rRNA
Rfam family: Eukaryotic small subunit ribosomal RNA
Source: RNAcentral